UGAAGGAUUGAAGAUAUUCUAAACAGA
Molecule: non-coding RNA, 27 nt
Filed under: Rattus norvegicus (Norway rat)
Lineage: Eukaryota; Metazoa; Chordata; Mammalia; Rodentia; Muridae
Source: RNAcentral